Momordica charantia (bitter melon) is the source of this 312-nucleotide non-coding RNA. NCBI's taxonomy places the organism in Eukaryota, Viridiplantae, Streptophyta, Magnoliopsida, Cucurbitales, Cucurbitaceae. The record is from RefSeq and is a predicted model, not a curated record.
GAUGCCUUCUUUCCGAGCUUUCCUCAACAGCCCAAUUGGCCCUAAAACCACUCAUUUUUGGGGGCCGGUCGCUAACUUUGGUUUCGUCGCUGCCGUAUGCUCUGUUUUUCGCUAUUAAAGGAUUGGCAGAUGUGAAAAAGCCCGCCGAUAUGAUAUCUGGCCGAAUGACGACAGGUUCAAAUCAUCUAUACACUGUUUAGUGCUCAAAGUUGUCUAAGUUGGUUCUGGAAUUGAAUCACGCACGAAAUUUGAACAUAAACAAAACUUUGAUUUGAAUCGUGAAAUUGUUGGUGGUGCAGUUUUGUGCAUCUA